UACGUAGGGGGCAAGCGUUGUCCGGAUUUAUUGGGCGUAAAGAGCGUGUAGGCGGCCAUACAGGUCAGCUGUGAAAACUCGAGGCUCAACCUCGAGAUGUCGGUGGAAACCGUCUGGCUAGAGUCCGGAAGAGGAGAGUGGAAUUCCUGGUGUAGCGGUGAAAUGCGCAGAUAUCAGGAGGAACACCUAUGGCGAAGGCAGCUCUCUGGGACGAUACUGACGCUGAGACGCGAAAGCGUGGGGAGCGAACAGG
This 253-nucleotide ribosomal RNA is filed under the name uncultured bacterium. RNAcentral's name for it is "partial 16S ribosomal RNA". It matches the Rfam family "Bacterial small subunit ribosomal RNA", at positions 524 to 776 of the family's 1533-position model. The record is from RNAcentral.